This 253-nucleotide ribosomal RNA is filed under the name uncultured bacterium. RNAcentral's name for it is "partial 16S ribosomal RNA". It matches the Rfam family "Bacterial small subunit ribosomal RNA", at positions 524 to 776 of the family's 1533-position model. The record is from RNAcentral.
UACGUAGGGUGCAAGCGUUAUUCGGAAUUACUGGGCGUAAAGCGUGCGCAGGCGGUUGUGCAAGUCAGAUGUGAAAUCCCCGGGCUCAACCUGGGAACUGCAUUUGUGACUGCACAGCUGGAGUGUGGCAGAGGGAGGUGGAAUUCCACGUGUAGCAGUGAAAUGCGUAGAGAUGUGGAGGAACACCGAUGGCGAAGGCAGCCUCCUGGGCCAGCACUGACGCUCAUGCACGAAAGCGUGGGGAGCAAACAGG